CCCCUAGUAACUGCGAGUGAACCGGGAAAAGCUCAAAUUUGAAAUCUGGCAGUCUCCUUUUUCUUCUUUGGCUGUCCGAAUUGUAAUCUAGAGAAGUGCUUACCUGCGCUGGACCGUGUAUAAGUCUCCUGGAAUGGAGCGUCACAGAGGGUGAGAAUCCCGUCUUUGACACGGACUGCCAGUGUGUUGUGGUGCGCUCUCAAAGAGUCGAGUUGUUUGGGAAUGCAGCUCUAAAUGGGUGGUAAACUCCAUCUAAAGCUAAAUAUUGGCGAGAGACCGAUAGCGAACAAGUACCGUGAGGGAAAGAUGAAAAGGACUUUGGAAAGAGAGUUAAACAGUAUGUGAAAUUGUUGAAAGGGAAACGCUUGAAGUCAGUUUUGCUGGCUAGGGAUCAACUCAGCUGUUUUUUGCUGGGUGAAUUUCCUGGUCUUGCAGGCCAACAUCAGUUCUGGUUGCUGGAAAAGAGCAGAAGGAAUGUGGCACCUUCGGGUGUGUUAUAGCCUUUUGUUAUAUGUGGCAGCUGGGACUGAGGGAUGCAGCACGUCGUAAGGCUGGGUUUCGACCACAUUCGUGCUUAGGAUGUUGGCUUUUAAUGGCUUCAAUCGACCCGUCUUGAAACACGGACCAAGGAGUCUAACAUGCCUGCGAGUGUUUGGGUGGUGAAAACCCUUGCGCGC
This 677-nucleotide ribosomal RNA is filed under the name Amanita sp. Its description in RNAcentral is "partial large subunit ribosomal RNA". It matches the Rfam family "Eukaryotic large subunit ribosomal RNA", at positions 77 to 717 of the family's 3401-position model. The record is from RNAcentral. Lineage: Eukaryota; Fungi; Basidiomycota; Agaricomycetes; Agaricales; Amanitaceae.